CAACCUGCCGAUGACUCGGGGAUAGCCUUUCGAAAGAAAGAUUAAUACCCGAUGGCAUAGUUCUUCCGCAUGGUAGAACUAUUAAAGAAUUUCGGUCAUCGAUGGGGAUGCGUUCCAUUAGGUUGUUGGCGGGGUAACGGCCCACCAAGCCUUCGAUGGAUAGGGGUUCUGAGAGGAAGGUCCCCCACAUUGGAACUGAGACACGGUCCAAACUCCUACGGGAGGCAGCUGUGAGGAAUAUUGGUCAAUGGACGAGAGUCUGAACCAGCCAAGUAGCGUGAAGGAUGACUGCCCUAUGGGUUGUAAACUUCUUUUAUACGGGAAUAAAGUGAGGCACGUGUGCCUUUUUGUAUGUACCGUAUGAAUAAGGAUCGGCUAACUCCGUGCCAGCAGCCGCGGUAAUACGGAGGAUCCGAGCGUUAUCCGGAUUUAUUGGGUUUAAAGGGAGCGUAGGCGGACGCUUAAGUCAGUUGUGAAAGUUUGCGGCUCAACCGUAAAAUUGCAGUUGAUACUGGGUGUCUUGAGUACAGUAGAGGCAGGCGGAAUUCGUGGUGUAGCGGUGAAAUGCUUAGAUAUCACGAAGAACUCCGAUUG
Molecule: ribosomal RNA, 594 nt
Filed under: uncultured Bacteroidota bacterium
Lineage: Bacteria; Pseudomonadati; Bacteroidota
Description: bacterial SSU rRNA
Rfam family: Bacterial small subunit ribosomal RNA
Source: RNAcentral